UACGUAGGCGGAAAAUUAAGUCAGUAGUGAAAUCCUGCAGCUUAACUGUAGAACUGUUAUUGAUACUGGUUUUCUUGAAUAUAGUUGAGGUAAGCGGAAUGUGUAAUGUAGCGGUGAGAUGCUUAGAUAUUACACAGAACACCGAUUGCGAAGGCAGCUUACUAAGCUAUGAUUGACGCUGAGGUACGAAAGCGUGGGGAGCGAACAGGAUUAGAUACCCUGGUAGUCC
Molecule: ribosomal RNA, 229 nt
Filed under: uncultured bacterium
Lineage: Bacteria
Description: partial 16S ribosomal RNA
Rfam family: Bacterial small subunit ribosomal RNA
Source: RNAcentral